UACGGGGGGGGUAAGCGUUGUUCGGAAUUACUGGGCGUAAAGCGCACGUAGGCGGCUUUGUAAGUUAGAGGUGAAAGCCCAGGGCUUAACCCUGGAAUUGCCUUUAAGACUGCAUCGCUAGAAUCGUGGAGAGGUGAGUGGAAUUCCGAGUGUAGAGGUGAAAUUCGUAGAUAUUCGGAAGAACACCAGUGGCGAAGGCGACUCACUGGACACGUAUUGACGCUGAGGUGCGAAAGCGUGGGGAGCAAACAGG
This 253-nucleotide ribosomal RNA is filed under the name uncultured bacterium. Its description in RNAcentral is "partial 16S ribosomal RNA". It matches the Rfam family "Bacterial small subunit ribosomal RNA", at positions 524 to 776 of the family's 1533-position model. The record is from RNAcentral.